CCUACGGGAGGCAGCAGUGGGGAAUAUUGCACAAUGGGGGAAACCCUGAUGCAGCGACGCCGCGUGAGUGAAGAAGUAUUUCGGUACGUAAAGCUCUAUCAGCAGGGAAGAAAAUGACGGUACCUGACUAAGAAGCCCCGGCUAACUACGUGCCAGCAGCCGCGGUAAUACGUAGGGGGCAAGCGUUAUCCGGAUUUACUGGGUGUAAAGGGAGCGUAGACGGCAGCGCAAGUCUGGAGUGAAAUCCCAUGGCUUAACCAUGGAACUGCUUUGGAAACUGUGCAGCUAGAGUGCAGGAGAGGUAAGCGGAAUGCCUGGUGUAGCGGUGAAAUGCGUAGAUAUUAGGAGGAACACCAGUGGCGAAGGCGGCUUACUGGACUGUAACUGACGUUGAGGCUCGAAAGCGUGGGGAGCAAACAGGAUUAGAUACCCCAGUAGUC
RNAcentral lists this ribosomal RNA (440 nucleotides) under uncultured bacterium. RNAcentral's name for it is "partial 16S ribosomal RNA". It matches the Rfam family "Bacterial small subunit ribosomal RNA", at positions 338 to 795 of the family's 1533-position model. The record is from RNAcentral.